AUGUUGUUCCAUAUUGGUCUGGAGAUGGUAUUCCAGCAGCAAAGGCACAAAAUAAAGAUACUGCUUCAGAAGUGUUUACUCUGCACUAAGUACACAGUUCCAUGGCCGAUCCAUCUUGUGAAGCUUCAGAAUCUCAGAAUGUUGACUUGCUUGCUAUGCUGCAUUCUGCAGAGAAACCUAAAGCUCAUGCUGGAUUGCCACCAUGGUCAAACUACCCCAAAGACAGAAAUCUUCACGUGCAUCUCACUCAAGGGCCACUUCAUAUGCAUGAAAAUCAGCAGAAUUCUCACUCAAGGACUACUUCUGUUUAACAACAAAACUUCUGCCACAGAACCAGCCACCUCUAGCUCAUUUGCCACCUAA
RNAcentral lists this ribosomal RNA (363 nucleotides) under Triticum aestivum (bread wheat). RNAcentral's name for it is "partial small subunit ribosomal RNA". The record is from RNAcentral. Lineage: Eukaryota; Viridiplantae; Streptophyta; Magnoliopsida; Poales; Poaceae.